Molecule: ribosomal RNA, 705 nt
Filed under: uncultured beta proteobacterium
Lineage: Bacteria; Pseudomonadati; Pseudomonadota; Betaproteobacteria
Description: bacterial SSU rRNA
Rfam family: Bacterial small subunit ribosomal RNA
Source: RNAcentral
AGAGUUUGAUCCUGGCUCAGAUUGAACGCUGGCGGAAAGCGGGGACACAUGCAAGUCGAGCGGCAGCGCGGGGCAACCUGGCGGCGAGCGGCGAACGGGUGAGUAAUGCAUCGGAACAUGUCCAAGUCGUGGGGGAUAGCCCGGCGAAAGCCGGAUUAAUACCGCAUGUGCCUGAGAGGGGAAAGUGGGGGACCGCAAGGCCUCACGCGAUUGGGUUGGCCGAUGUCCGAUUAGCUAGUUGGCGGGGUAAGAGCCCACCAAGGCGAUGAUCGGUAGCUGGUCUGAGAGGAUGAUCAGCCACACUGGGACUGAGACACGGCCCAGACUCCUACGGGAGGCAGCAGUGGGGAAUUUUGGACAAUGGGGGCAACCCUGAUCCAGCCAUUCCGCGUGAGUGAAGAAGGCCUUCGGGUUGUAAAGCUCUUUUGUCCGGAACGAAACGGGUGCGGCUAAUACUCGCGCCUACUGACGGUACCGGAAGAAUAAGCACCGGCUAACUACGUGCCAGCAGCCGCGGUAAUACGUAGGGUGCGAGCGUUAAUCGGAAUUACUGGGCGUAAAGCGUGCGCAGGCGGUUUUGUAAGCCAGAUGUGAAAUCCCCGGGCUUAACCUGGGAAUGGCAUUUGGGACUGCAAGGCUUGAGUGCGGCAGAGGAGACUGGAAUUCCUGGUGUAGCAGUGAAAUGCGUAGAUAUCACGAGGAAUA